CUAUGUUUUAUCCCUUUUUUUAGUACUGGUCGGGAGAGUAACAAAAGAGGAACUUCCUAAGGGAAGAACUGACAUAAAAUAUCACUUUAGACUUCUUAAGUCGUUGAAGGGUGUUCAUGAAAAAAUUGGUUCAACAAUCAUUAUAGAGAUGCCAUUCUCUACUUCGGAAUGUGGUACUAGAUUGACUGAAGGAGAACAGUAUUUAUUGUCAGGUCACAGGGAUAAAAAAACAGGAACGAUAUCUACCUUGACAUGUGGAAACUUCAUUUAUAAGGACGCUGAUGUUACAUUUGAGUUGAUGAUGUACUUUUUCAGUGGUGGUUCUGAUUCAUACAGACAAAACUGUGAUUGUAAAGAAAUUGUAAAUCCUAGGCACGAACCUGGAAAAUUUGACCCAAGUAAAGGUUGUAAGCUUCCCUCAGGAUUGAACACUGACACUGAUUGUUAUCGUAAAAAGGGAUUAUGCAAGAGAACGGGAAGUGUGUGUGGCUGGAAAAACGUCGACUGUCCAUGAUUUCAAGAAUGUCAAAAAAUAAACUUGAUAAUAAGCAUUGUGUGGAUCUUUUAAUGCCAAUUCUACAGAAUAUAUAUGUUUAUUUGAUGAA
Mytilus californianus (California mussel) is the source of this 605-nucleotide long non-coding RNA. RefSeq lists it as uncharacterized. NCBI's taxonomy places the organism in Eukaryota, Metazoa, Mollusca, Bivalvia, Mytilida, Mytilidae. The transcript is spliced from 4 exons. The record is from RefSeq and is a predicted model, not a curated record.